RNAcentral lists this ribosomal RNA (440 nucleotides) under uncultured bacterium. Its description in RNAcentral is "partial 16S ribosomal RNA". It matches the Rfam family "Bacterial small subunit ribosomal RNA", at positions 338 to 795 of the family's 1533-position model. The record is from RNAcentral.
CCUACGGGUGGCAGCAGUGGGGAAUAUUGCACAAUGGGGGAAACCCUGAUGCAGCGACGCCGCGUGAGUGAAGAAGUAUUUCGGUAUGUAAAGCUCUAUCAGCCGGGAAGAUAAUGACGGUACCUGACUAAGAAGCCCCGGCUAACUACGUGCCAGCAGCCGCGGUAAUACGUAGGGGGCAAGCGUUAUCCGGAUUUACUGGGUGUAAAGGGAGCGUAGGUGGCAGGGCAAGUCAGAUGUGAAAACCCGGGGCUCAACCCCGGGGGUGCAUUUGAAACUGUCCAGCUGGAGUGCAGGAGAGGUAAGCGGAAUUCCUAGUGUAGCGGUGAGAUGCAGAGAUAUUAGGAGGAACACCGAUUGCGAAGGCAGCAUACCGGCGGCGAUCUGACGCUGAGGCACGAAAGCGUGGGUAUCGAACAGGAUUAGAUACCCGGGUAGUC